AUGCCAUCUUUGAGUGAACUAAGCAUAUUAUGCCAUCUUGGUCAUUUCGGAGCUAACCUAGGUAAACUAGGUCAUUUUGGAGCUAACCUAGGUAAACUUGGUCAUUUUAGAGCUAACCUAGGUAAACUAGGUCAUUUUGGAGCUAACCUAGCUAAAAUGGAUCAUGUUGGAGCUAACCUAGGUAAACUUGGUCAUUUUGGAGCUAACCUAGCUAAAAUGGAUCAUAUUGGAGCUAACCUAGGUAAACUUGGUCAUUUUGGAGCUAACCUAGGUAAACUUGGUCAUUUUGGAGCUAACCUAGCUAAAAUGGAUCAUAUUGGAGCUAACCUAGGUAAACUUGGUCAUUUUGGAGCUAACCUAGGUAAACUAGGUCAUUUUGGAGCUAACGUAGCUAAAAUGGAUCAAAUUGGAGCUAACUUAGGUAAACUUGUUCAUUUUGGAGCUAACCUAGAUAAAUGGAUCAUAUUGGAGCUAACCUAG
This 480-nucleotide ribosomal RNA is filed under the name Triticum aestivum (bread wheat). RNAcentral describes it as "partial small subunit ribosomal RNA". Lineage: Eukaryota; Viridiplantae; Streptophyta; Magnoliopsida; Poales; Poaceae. The record is from RNAcentral.